RNAcentral lists this long non-coding RNA (246 nucleotides) under Olea europaea (common olive). RNAcentral describes it as "long non-coding RNA (OEUR_LNC007500)". Lineage: Eukaryota; Viridiplantae; Streptophyta; Magnoliopsida; Lamiales; Oleaceae. The record is from RNAcentral.
AUUGCACCAAUGGACUCCUAAAUUUCUCAAACCAUCAUUCCAUCGCCCGUCUCAUUUAUGAAUUAUUUGCAACUUGAUCCCUGAACUUUCACUUCUUCUCGCUUUGGUCCUUUUUCAUUUGUUUCUUCCAAAUUUCACUGUUUUCACCAAAAUGCAACCUAAACCAAAAUAUAAGAGUAAUGCGUGCAUUUUAGCAUAAUAUAAUCACAUGAAUGCAAUAAUUAAGAGGGGAAAAUAUGGUAUUUU